UGAGCGGUAGAUCAACAGGUAGAUCGCCUGGCUGUUAACCAGGAGGGUGCAAGUUCGAACCCUGCCCGCUCAGCGA
This 76-nucleotide transfer RNA is filed under the name Planctomycetota bacterium. Its description in RNAcentral is "Planctomycetes bacterium tRNA-Asn". It matches the Rfam family "tRNA". Rfam says of the family: Transfer RNA (tRNA) molecules are approximately 80 nucleotides in length. The record is from RNAcentral. Lineage: Bacteria; Pseudomonadati; Planctomycetota.